RNAcentral lists this long non-coding RNA (1026 nucleotides) under Cicer arietinum (chickpea). Its description in RNAcentral is "long non-coding RNA (CARI_LNC000784)". Lineage: Eukaryota; Viridiplantae; Streptophyta; Magnoliopsida; Fabales; Fabaceae. The record is from RNAcentral.
AUGUAUCUAAAAUUAGAUAUUACAAUUCUUUUUAUUCUAAGAAAAAUACCACGCAAGUAGGUAUGACAGUAGGACGGGGGCGUAUUUUGCCUCCUCAAUCGCCACACUGACUAAUCGGAAAAAACUCGUAUCACCGCAGUUUUAUAGUGGGUAUGAAGUUUAGGCUCCGUCCCUGCCCGCAAUGGAGUUUGAGUUUUCCGCUCGCACCUGCACUCAUUCAUAUAUAUAAACUUAUAAAUUUAAAAACCAUAUCUAUUAUAAUUAAUAUAAUAAAAUAAUUAUUAUUAGAUAAUAAUCAAAUUAGAAAAUAUUUUCUAUAGAGAUAAAAUUAUAAUUUUUAAUAUUCAAAAAAAUAUUAAAUAUAUUAAAUAUGUAUAUGUAUAUAAAAUUUAAAAAUUACAAUAAUAUUACUUGCGAGGCAGGUUCAGAUGCGGGGUGGAUAUCACCACCCCAAAUUUUAAUUUCAUGAAAAAUACAUAAUCGCACCCAAUCAAAAUGGAGUUUCAAACAAAUCUAAAUGGGUAGUCGCGAGUUAUGUUAUAAUCUCUAGAUACAAAUUUGAUUGUAUCAAUUACACCCUUUACAAAAUAGAGGAGAUGAAUUUAUUAUUUAGACACAUAUAUACAUAUAAAAGAUGCGUGCCAUAUAAAAGGCCCAAAGAAAGUGAAUGCAAUUUCUAUGACAAAUUUGAGUGAUGGGUGUUUGUUUUAAAAAGUAAAUAGAAUGCCGUAUGGUUUAUUUAAGCAUAUCCCUCAGAUGUGAGAGCAAAUUCCUUUUUCUAAAAGACAAAGAACAACGGCAAACUGAAAAGAUAGAUAGAGAAUUCAAGUUGAAAAUAAAAAAGAAGAAUUCUCUCAGUGGGUUUUGAGGAAAAGAUGUGACAAAAAUCUUUUGUCAUUCUACAAGUGGUUGUUGCCUUGUUGGGAGGAUAAAAAGGUUUUGGGAUAUAUAUAUAUUUUGUUCUGCCACAAGUGGUUGUUCAGAGGAUAAAAAGGUUUUACAAUGAUGAUUUGGAUUCCAGGUGUG